Molecule: non-coding RNA, 27 nt
Filed under: Mus musculus (house mouse)
Lineage: Eukaryota; Metazoa; Chordata; Mammalia; Rodentia; Muridae
Source: RNAcentral
GGCAAAACAUGACAUUCUUACUGUAAC